Marmota marmota marmota (Alpine marmot) is the source of this 107-nucleotide small nuclear RNA. The record is from Ensembl. NCBI's taxonomy places the organism in Eukaryota, Metazoa, Chordata, Mammalia, Rodentia, Sciuridae.
GUACUCACUUCAGCAGCACAUGUACUAAAAUUGGAAUGAUACAGAGAAAAUUAGCAUGGCCCCUGUGCAAGGAUGACACGCAAAUUUGUGAAGUGUUCUAUAUUUAA